Numida meleagris (helmeted guineafowl) is the source of this 1707-nucleotide long non-coding RNA. The record is from Ensembl. NCBI's taxonomy places the organism in Eukaryota, Metazoa, Chordata, Aves, Galliformes, Numididae.
GGGGUCAUGGGUCAAUGGGGUCAAUGGGGUCAAUGGGGUCAUUGGGGUCAAUGGGGUCAAUGGGGGUCAUGGGGUCAUGGGUCAAUGGGGUCAUGGGUCAAUGGGGUCAAUGGGUCAAUGGGUCAAUGGGGUCAAUGGGGGCAAUGGGGUCAUGGGUAAAUGGGGUCGUGGGGUCAAUUGGUCAAUGGGGUCAUGGGUCAAUGGGGUUGUGGGGUCAAUGGGUCAAUGGGGUCAAUGGGGUCAUGGGGUCAAUUGGUCAAUGGGGUCAAUGGGGUUAUGGGUCAAUGGGGUCAUGGGGGUCAUGGGUCAAUGGGGUCAUGGGGUCAAUGGGGUUAUGGGGUCAUGGGUCAAUGGGGUCAUGGGGUUAUGGGGUCACGGGGUUAUGGGGGAACAUGGGGUCAGUGAGAGGUCAUGGGGUCACAGGUCAAUGGGGGUCAUGGGGUCAAUGGGGUCAUGGGUCAAUGGGGUCAUGGGGUUAUGGGGUCAAUGGGUCAAUGGGGUCGUGGGGUCAUGGGUCAAUGGGGUCAAUUGGUCAAUGGGGUCAUGGGUCAAUGGGGUCAAUGGGGUCAUGGGUCAAUGGGGUCAAUGGGGUCGUGGCGUCAAUGGGACAAUGGGGUCAUGGGUCAAUGGGGUCAUGGGGUCAGGGGUCAUGUGGGGUCAUGGGGUCACGUGGGGUCAAUGAGGGGUCACGGGGUCAGGGUGGGUGACCUCGUCCUCGUCGGGGUCACCGGGCUCCUCCAGGGGCUCCCACUGCAGCACCAGGCCCUCGGGCUGCAAACCAGUAUAGACCAGUAUGGACCAGUACGGACCAAUACAGACCAGUAUAGACCAGUACUGACCAGUAUGGACCAGUACGGACCAGUAGGAACCCACUGAAAUUGGGAAUCCAACUCCUCUCCCCCCCCAGUGCCCCCAGUCCUUCCCAGUUUCCCCCAUUCUCCCCCAGUUCCCUCCCAGUAUAUCCCAGUGCCCCCCAUUCCCUCCCAGUAUAUCCCAGUUCCCUCCCAGUGCAUCCCAGUGCCCUCCCAGUCCCUCCCAGUGCCCCCCAUUCCCUCCCAGUUCCCUCCCAGUACCUCCCAGUUCCUUCCCAGUUCCUUCCCAGUUCCCUCCCAGUGCCUCCAAUCCCCCUCCCAGUGCUCCCCAGUCCCUCCCAGUUCCUUUCCAGUCCCUCCCAGUGCCCCCCAUUCCCUCCCAGUCUACUCCAGUUCCUUCUCAGUCCCUCCCAGUCCCUCCCCAUUCCCUCCCAGUUCCUUCCCAGUCCCUGCCAGUAUAUCCCAGUUCCCUCCCAUUCCCUCCCAGUGCCUCCCAGUCCCUCCCAGUCCCCUCCCAGCUCCCUCCCAGUCCAUCCCAGUGCCCCCCAUUCCCUCCCAGUCCCUCCCAGUUCCCUCUCAGUGCCUACCAGUACCCUCUCAGUCCAUCCCCGUUCCCUCCCAGUGCCCCCCAUUCCCUCCCAGUCCCUCCCAGUUCUUCCCAGUCCCUCCCAGUGCCUCCAAUCCGCCUCCCAGUGCCUCCCAGUCCCUCCCAGUCUCUCCCAGUCUACCUCAGUCCCCGCCCAGUCCUUCCCAGUACAUCCCAGUUCCUCCCAGUGCCCACAAUUCCCUCCCAGUAUAUCCCAGUUCCCUCCCAGUUCCCUCCCAGUGCCCCCAGUCCCUCCCAGUUCCUUUCCAGUCCCUCCCAGUGCCUCCCAUUCCCUCCCAGUGCCCGCAU